RNAcentral lists this ribosomal RNA (1539 nucleotides) under uncultured Gammaproteobacteria bacterium. RNAcentral describes it as "uncultured gamma proteobacterium 16S ribosomal RNA". It matches the Rfam family "Bacterial small subunit ribosomal RNA". The record is from RNAcentral. Lineage: Bacteria; Pseudomonadati; Pseudomonadota; Gammaproteobacteria.
AGAGUUUGAUCCUGGCUCAGAUUGAACGCUGGCGGCAUGCCUAACACAUGCAAGUCGAACGGCAGCACGAAUAAGUACUUAUACUUAUUGGGUGGCGAGUGGCGCACGGGUGAGUAAUGCGCAGGAAUAUACCUUGAAGAGGGGGAUAACUUGGGGAAACUCAAGCUAAUACCGCAUAUGCUCUGAGGAGCGAAGCUGGGGACCUUAGGGCCUGGCGCUUUGAGAAUAGCCUGCGUCCGAUUAGCUAGUUGGUGGGGUAAAGGCCUACCAAGGCGACGAUCGGUAGCUGGUCUGAGAGGAUGAACAGCCACACUGGGACUGAGACACGGCCCAGACUCCUACGGGAGGCAGCAGUGGGGAAUAUUGGACAAUGGGGGCAACCCUGAUCCAGCAAUGCCGCGUGUGUGAAGAAGGCCUGAGGGCUGUAAAGCACUUUCAGUGGGGAGGAGGGUUAUUAGGUUAAGAGCCAGAUAACUGGACGUUACCCACAGAAGAAGCACCGGCUAACUCCGUGCCAGCAGCCGCCGGUAAUACGGAGGGUGCAAGCGUUAAUCGGAAUGACUGGGCGUAAAGGGUGCGUAGGUGGUUGCUCAAGUUAUUGGUGAAAUCACAGGGGCUUAACCUUGUGUUGACGAAUAAUACUGUGUGACUCGGAGUAUAGGAGAGGGUAGUGGGAAUUUCCCGUGUAGCCGGGUGNAAAUGCGGUAGAGAUCGGGAAGGAACACCAGUUGCGAAGGCGGCUUACUUGGCCUUGGUACUGACCACUGAGGCACCGAAAGCGUGGGGAGCAAACAAGGAUUAGGAUACCCUGGUAGUUCCACCGCUGUUAAACGAUGUCAACUAGUUGUUUUCUCAUGUAAAGAUGGGGGGGUAAACGCAGCUAACGCGAUAAGUUGACCGCCUGGGGAGNAACGGUCGCAAGAUUAAANCUCAAAGGAAUUGACGGGGGGCCCGCACAAGCGGUGGAGGCAUGUGGUUUAAUUCGAUGCAACGCGAAGAACCUUACCUACCCUUGACAUACAGUAAAUUUUGCAGAGAUGCGAAAGUGCCUUAACGGGAAUACUGAUACAGGUGCUGCAUGGCUGUCGUCAGCUCCGUGUCGUGAGAUGUUGGGUUAAGUCCCGUAACGAGCGCAACCCUUAUCAUUAGUUGCCAUCGCGUAGAGGCGGGAACUCUAAUGAGACUGCCGGUGACAAACCGGAGGAAGGCGGGGACGACGUCAAGUCAUCAUGGCCCUUACGGGUAGGGCUACACACGUGCUACAAUGGCUAGUACAGAGGGCAGCGAAUCGGCGACGAGGAGCGAAUCUUUCAAAGCUAGUNGUAGUCCGGAUUGAAGUCUGCAACUCGACUUCAUGAAGUCGGAAUCUUCUAGUAAUCGCAAAUCAGCAUGUUGCGGUGAAUACGUUCCCGGGCCUUAUACACACCGCCCGUCACACCAUGGGAGUGGGCUGCACCAGAAUCAGAUAGUCUAACCGCAAGGGGGACGUUUGCCACGGUGUGGUUUCAUGACUGGGGUGAAGUCGUAACAAGGUAGCCG